CCUACGGGAGGCAGCAGUGAGGAAUAUUGGUCAAUGGACGAGAGUCUGAACCAGCCAAGUAGCGUGAAGGAUGACUGCCCUAUGGGUUGUAAACUUCUUUUAUAAAGGAAUAAAACGAGGCACGUGUGCCUUUUUGCAUGUACUUUAUGAAUAAGGAUCGGCUAACUCCGUGCCAGCAGCCGCGGUAAUACGGAGGAUCCGAGCGUUAUCCGGUUUUAUUGGGGUUAAAGGGAGAGGAGAUGGGCAUUUAAGCCGGAGGGAAAAUGUCGGGGCUCAACGCCGGCCUGCCGUCGGAACUGGGUGCCUUGAGUGGGCGAGAAGUAUGCGGAAUGCGUGGUGUAGCGGUGAAAUGCAUAGAUAUCACGCAGAACCCCGAUGGCGAAGGCAGCAUACCGGAGCCCUACUGACGCCGAGGCACGAAAGUGCGGGUAUCGAACAGGAUUAGAUACCCGGGUAGUC
Molecule: ribosomal RNA, 459 nt
Filed under: uncultured bacterium
Lineage: Bacteria
Description: partial 16S ribosomal RNA
Rfam family: Bacterial small subunit ribosomal RNA
Source: RNAcentral